This 504-nucleotide ribosomal RNA is filed under the name uncultured bacterium. RNAcentral's name for it is "partial 16S ribosomal RNA". It matches the Rfam family "Bacterial small subunit ribosomal RNA", at positions 30 to 523 of the family's 1533-position model. The record is from RNAcentral.
AUUGAACGCUGGCGGCAGGCCUAACACAUGCAAGUCGAACGGUAGCACAGAGAGCUUGCUCUCGGGUGACGAGUGGCGGACGGGUGAGUAAUGUCUGGGAAACUGCCCGAUGGAGGGGGAUAACUACUGGAAACGGUAGCUAAUACCGCAUAACGUCGCAAGACCAAAGUGGGGGACCUUCGGGCCUCACACCAUCGGAUGUGCCCAGAUGGGAUUAGCUAGUAGGUGGGGUAAUGGCUCACCUAGGCGACGAUCCCUAGCUGGUCUGAGAGGAUGAGAAGCCAAACUGGAAAUGAGACAAGGUCCAGACUCCUACGGGAGGCAGCAGUGGGGAAUAUUGCACAAUGGGCGCAAGCCUGAUGCAGCCAUGCCGCGUGUAUGAAGAAGGCCUUCGGGUUGUAAAGUACUUUCAGCGGGGAGGAAGGCGGUGAAGUUAAUAACUUCACCGAUUGACGUUACCCGCAGAAGAAGCACCGGCUAACUCCGUGCCAGCCGCCGCAGUAA